This 248-nucleotide signal recognition particle RNA is filed under the name Desulfobacteraceae bacterium SEEP-SAG9. RNAcentral's name for it is "Bacterial large signal recognition particle RNA". It matches the Rfam family "Bacterial large signal recognition particle RNA". From Rfam's summary of the family: The signal recognition particle (SRP) is a universally conserved ribonucleoprotein involved in the co-translational targeting of proteins to membranes. Archaeal SRP consists of a 7S RNA and homologues of the eukaryotic SRP19 and SRP54 proteins. In most bacteria, the SRP consists of a 4.5S RNA and the Ffh protein (a homologue of the eukaryotic SRP54 protein). Lineage: Bacteria; Pseudomonadati; Thermodesulfobacteriota; Desulfobacteria; Desulfobacterales; Desulfobacteraceae. The record is from Rfam by way of RNAcentral.
UUGUGCUAGGCGGGGAGUUAGCGGUGCCCUUUGCCCGAAAUCCGCUUUAUGCGGGGCUGAAUUCCCUCUAAAGGGUUUAAUCCUGGAAGGUUAUGAGUUGUGUUGAUCGGCCGCCGCGCAACAGACGGUUACGAACCUCGUCAGGUCCGGAAGGAAGCAGCGAUAAGUAAUGCAGUCUGUGUCGUGGAUUGAUUCCGGUCAUUUUAAUGACUUGCGCAUUUCAGAAAAACUCGAUAGCGGGUGCACAA